GGUUAAGCGACUAAGCGUACACGGUGGAUGCCCUGGCAGUCAGAGGCGAUGAAGGACGUGCUAAUCUGCGAUAAGCGUCGGUAAGGUGAUAUGAACCGUUAUAACCGGCGAUUUCCGAAUGGGGAAACCCAGUGUGAUUCGUCACACUAUCAUUAACUGAAUCCAUAGGUUAAUGAGGCGAACCGGGGGAACUGAAACAUCUAAGUACCCCGAGGAAAAGAAAUCAACCGAGAUUCCCCCAGUAGCGGCGAGCGAACGGGGAGGAGCCCAGAGCCUGAAUCAGUGUGUGUGUUAGUGGAAGCGUCUGGAAAGGCGCGCGAUACAGGGUGACAGCCCCGUACACAAAAAUGCACAUAUUGUGAGCUCGAUGAGUAGGGCGGGACACGUGGUAUCCUGUCUGAAUAUGGGGGGACCAUCCUCCAAGGCUAAAUACUCCUGACUGACCGAUAGUGAACCAGUACCGUGAGGGAAAGGCGAAAAGAACCCCGGCGAGGGGAGUGAAAAAGAACCUGAAACCGUGUACGUACAAGCAGUGGGAGCACGCUUAGGCGUGUGACUGCGUACCUUUUGUAUAAUGGGUCAGCGACUUAUAUUCUGUAGCAAGGUUAACCGAAUAGGGGAGCCGAAGGGAAACCGAGUCUUAACUGGGCGUUAAGUUGCAGGGUAUAGACCCGAAACCCGGUGAUCUAGCCAUGGGCAGGUUGAAGGUUGGGUAACACUAACUGGAGGACCGAACCGACUAAUGUUGAAAAAUUAGCGGAUGACUUGUGGCUGGGGGUGAAAGGCCAAUCAAACCGGGAGAUAGCUGGUUCUCCCCGAAAGCUAUUUAGGUAGCGCCUCGUGAAUUCAUCUCCGGGGGUAGAGCACUGUUUCGGCAAGGGGGUCAUCCCGACUUACCAACCCGAUGCAAACUGCGAAUACCGGAGAAUGUUAUCACGGGAGACACACGGCGGGUGCUAACGUCCGUCGUGAAGAGGGAAACAACCCAGACCGCCAGCUAAGGUCCCAAAGUCAUGGUUAAGUGGGAAACGAUGUGGGAAGGCCCAGACAGCCAGGAUGUUGGCUUAGAAGCAGCCAUCAUUUAAAGAAAGCGUAAUAGCUCACUGGUCGAGUCGGCCUGCGCGGAAGAUGUAACGGGGCUAAACCAUGCACCGAAGCUGCGGCAGCGACGCUGAUGCGUUGUUGGGUAGGGGAGCGUUCUGUAAGCCUGCGAAGGUGUGCUGUGAGGCAUGCUGGAGGUAUCAGAAGUGCGAAUGCUGACAUAAGUAACGAUAAAGCGGGUGAAAAGCCCGCUCGCCGGAAGAUCAAGGGUUCCUGUCCAACGUUAAUCGGGGCAGGGUGAGUCGACCCCUAAGGCGAGGCCGAAAGGCGUAGUCGAUGGGAAACAGGUUAAUAUUCCUGUACUUGGUGUUACUGCGAAGGGGGGACGGAGAAGGCUAUGUUGGCCGGGCGACGGUUGUCCCGGUUUAAGCGUGUAGGCUGGUUUUCCAGGCAAAUCCGGAAAAUCAAGGCUGAGGCGUGAUGACGAGGCACUACGGUGCUGAAGCAACAAAUGCCCUGCUUCCAGGAAAAGCCUCUAAGCAUCAGGUAACAUCAAAUCGUACCCCAAACCGACACAGGUGGUCAGGUAGAGAAUACCAAGGCGCUUGAGAGAACUCGGGUGAAGGAACUAGGCAAAAUGGUGCCGUAACUUCGGGAGAAGGCACGCUGAUAUGUAGGUGAGGUCCCUCGCGGAUGGAGCUGAAAUCAGUCGAAGAUACCAGCUGGCUGCAACUGUUUAUUAAAAACACAGCACUGUGCAAACACGAAAGUGGACGUAUACGGUGUGACGCCUGCCCGGUGCCGGAAGGUUAAUUGAUGGGGUUAGCGCAAGCGAAGCUCUUGAUCGAAGCCCCGGUAAACGGCGGCCGUAACUAUAACGGUCCUAAGGUAGCGAAAUUCCUUGUCGGGUAAGUUCCGACCUGCACGAAUGGCGUAAUGAUGGCCAGGCUGUCUCCACCCGAGACUCAGUGAAAUUGAACUCGCUGUGAAGAUGCAGUGUACCCGCGGCAAGACGGAAAGACCCCGUGAACCUUUACUAUAGCUUGACACUGAACAUUGAGCCUUGAUGUGUAGGAUAGGUGGGAGGCUUUGAAGUGUGGACGCCAGUCUGCAUGGAGCCGACCUUGAAAUACCACCCUUUAAUGUUUGAUGUUCUAACGUUGACCCGUAAUCCGGGUUGCGGACAGUGUCUGGUGGGUAGUUUGACUGGGGCGGUCUCCUCCUAAAGAGUAACGGAGGAGCACGAAGGUUGGCUAAUCCUGGUCGGACAUCAGGAGGUUAGUGCAAUGGCAUAAGCCAGCUUGACUGCGAGCGUGACGGCGCGAGCAGGUGCGAAAGCAGGUCAUAGUGAUCCGGUGGUUCUGAAUGGAAGGGCCAUCGCUCAACGGAUAAAAGGUACUCCGGGGAUAACAGGCUGAUACCGCCCAAGAGUUCAUAUCGACGGCGGUGUUUGGCACCUCGAUGUCGGCUCAUCACAUCCUGGGGCUGAAGUAGGUCCCAAGGGUAUGGCUGUUCGCCAUUUAAAGUGGUACGCGAGCUGGGUUUAGAACGUCGUGAGACAGUUCGGUCCCUAUCUGCCGUGGGCGCUGGAGAACUGAGGGGGGCUGCUCCUAGUACGAGAGGACCGGAGUGGACGCAUCACUGGUGUUCGGGUUGUCAUGCCAAUGGCACUGCCCGGUAGCUAAAUGCGGAAGAGAUAAGUGCUGAAAGCAUCUAAGCACGAAACUUGCCCCGAGAUGAGUUCUCCCUGACUCCUUGAGAGUCCUGAAGGAACGUUGAAGACGACGACGUUGAUAGGCCGGGUGUGUAAGCGCAGCGAUGCGUUGAGCUAACCGGUACUAAUGAACCGUGAGGCUUAACCUU
RNAcentral lists this ribosomal RNA (2904 nucleotides) under Escherichia coli. RNAcentral describes it as "23S ribosomal RNA". It matches the Rfam family "Bacterial large subunit ribosomal RNA". The record is from RNAcentral. Lineage: Bacteria; Pseudomonadati; Pseudomonadota; Gammaproteobacteria; Enterobacterales; Enterobacteriaceae.